UACGGGGGGAGCAAGCGUUGUUCGGAUUUACUGGGCGUAAAGGGCGCGUAGGCGGUCGUGACAAGUCACUUGUGAAAUCUCCGGGCUUAACUCGGAACGGUCAAGUGAUACUGUCGGACUAGAGUACAGAAGGGGCAACUGGAAUUCUCGGUGUAGCGGUGAAAUGCGUAGAUAUCGAGAGGAACACCUGCGGCGAAGGCAGGUCUCUGGGCCACUACUGACGCUGAGAAGCGAAAGCAUGGGGAGCGAACAGG
Molecule: ribosomal RNA, 254 nt
Filed under: uncultured bacterium
Lineage: Bacteria
Description: partial 16S ribosomal RNA
Rfam family: Bacterial small subunit ribosomal RNA
Source: RNAcentral